RNAcentral lists this ribosomal RNA (709 nucleotides) under uncultured bacterium. Its description in RNAcentral is "bacterial SSU rRNA". It matches the Rfam family "Bacterial small subunit ribosomal RNA", at positions 41 to 797 of the family's 1533-position model. The record is from RNAcentral.
KGSGGSAKCUAUGCAUGCAGUCGAAAGGGUUUAGGCCCUUGGCAAACGGGUUAGUAAUACAUAGGAMCYUUCCUUGAAGUCGUGAAUAAUCCGGAGAAAUCCGGAAUAAUACACGAUGUGCUCUACGGAGUAAAGAUUUACCGCUUCAUGAGAGGCCUAUGUCCUAUCAGCUUGUUGGUGGUGUAAUGGACCACCAAGGCUAUGACGGGUAGGGGGUGUGAGAGCACGGCCCCCAACAUUGGGACUGAGACACUGCCCAAACUCCUACGGGAGGCUGCAGUCGAGAAUAUUUGUCAAUGCACGAAAGUGUGAACAUGCGACGCCGCGUGCGGGAUGAAGGCCUUCGGGUCGUAAACCGCUUUUGUAAGGGAAGAAUUACGAUGACWUUAACUUACGAAUAARAGGUUACUAACUCUGUGCCAGCAGUAGCGGUAAUACAGAGACCUCAAACGUUAUCCGGAUUUAUUGGGCGUAAAGAGCUGGUAGGUGGUUAUAUUAGUCAGAUGUCAAAUCUCGGAGCUCAACUCCGAAACUGCAUUUGAAACGGUAUAACUAGAGGGUGUGAGAGAUCUAUGGAACUCAUGGUGUAGCAGUGAAAUGCGUUGAUAUCAUGAGGAACACCAAAGGCGAAGGCAUUAGAUUGGCACACUCSUGACACUGAGCAGCGAAAGCGUGGGUAGCGAAUGGGAUUAGAUACCCCAGUAGUCCA